RNAcentral lists this ribosomal RNA (440 nucleotides) under uncultured bacterium. Its description in RNAcentral is "partial 16S ribosomal RNA". It matches the Rfam family "Bacterial small subunit ribosomal RNA", at positions 338 to 795 of the family's 1533-position model. The record is from RNAcentral.
CCUACGGGAGGCAGCAGUGGGGAAUAUUGCACAAUGGGGGAAACCCUGAUGCAGCGACGCCGCGUGAGUGACGACGUAUUUCGGUAUGUAAAGCUCUAUCAGCCGGGAAGCAAAUGACGGUACCUGAUUACGAAUCCCCGGCUAACUACGUGCCGGAAGCCGCGGUAAUACGUAGGGGGCAAGCGUUAUCCGGAUUUACUGGGUGUAAAGGGAGCGUAGACGGUGAUGCAAAUCAUAAGGGAAAGCCCGGGGCUCAACUCCGGGACAGCUUUUGAAACUGUGUGACUGGAGUGCAGGAGAGGGAAGCGGAAUGCCUGGUGUAGCGGUGAAAUGCGUAGAUAUCAGGAGGAACACCAGUGGCGAAGGCGGCUUACUGGACUGUAACUGACGUUGAGGCUCGAAAGCGUGGGGAGCAAACAGGAUUAGAUACCCGAGUAGUC